UCAACUUUAACUAGAUUUACACAUGCGAGUAUCCGCACCCCCGUGAGAAUGCCCCACAACCUCCUGAAUUGGAGAUGAGGAGCUGGUAUCAGGCACAAUAUCUUUAGCCCACGACGCCUUGCUUAGCCACACCCCCAAGGGAUUUCAGCAGUGACAAACAUUAAGCCAUGAGUGAAAACUUGACUUAGUCAGUGUUAACAGGGCCGGUAAAUCUCGUGCCAGCCACCGCGGUUAUACGAGAGACCCAAGUCGAUGGCCUUCGGCGUAAAGCGUGGUUAGGAAAACCUAAAACUAAAGGUAAACGGUCUCAAAGCUGUUAUACGCUCAUGAGACUCUGAAAAUCAACUACGAAAGUGACUUUAAACCCCUGACCCCACGAAAGCUAUGGUACAAACUGGGAUUAGAUACCCCACUAUGCUUAGCCCUAAACAUAGAUACUAACCUACUUAUUUUAUCCGCCUGGGAACUACGAGCGUCAGCUUAAAACCCAAAGGACUUGGCGGUGCUUUAGAUCCACCUAGAGGAGCCUGUUCUAGAACCGAUAAUCCCCGUUAAACCUCACCUUUCCUUGUUCUUAUUCCGCCUAUAUACCGCCGUCGUCAGCUUACUCUGUGAAGAUCCCAUAGUAGGCACAAUCGGUACAGCCCAAAACGCCAGGUCGAGGUGUAGCGUAUGGAAAGGGAAGAAAUGGGCUACAUUCAGUAAUUUAAUGAAUACGGAUGACAUCCUGAAAAAAAUGUCUGAAGGAGGAUUUAGCAGUAAGUAGAGAAUAGAGUGCUCUACUGAAUCUGGCCCUGAAGCGCGCACACACCGCCCGUCACUCUCCCCGAGCUAAUAAAAGCACAUAAUUAAUAAACGAGACCUGCAAAGGGGAGGCAAGUCGUAACAUGGUAAGUGUACCA
This 902-nucleotide non-coding RNA is filed under the name Halichoeres marginatus (dusky wrasse). Its description in RNAcentral is "partial 12S ribosomal RNA". It matches the Rfam family "Bacterial small subunit ribosomal RNA". The record is from RNAcentral. Lineage: Eukaryota; Metazoa; Chordata; Actinopteri; Labriformes; Labridae.